CUGGCCUACGGGGCGCAGCAGUGAGGAAUAUUGGUCAAUGGGAGAGAUCCUGAACCAGCCAAGCCGCGCGAGGGAAGACGGCCCUAUGGGUUGUAAACCCCUUUUGUCGGAGAACAAAACCCGGGACGUGUCCCGGACUGCGUGUAUCCGAAGAAAAAGCAUCGGCUAACUCCGUGCCAGCAGCCGCGGUAAUACGGAGGAUGCGAGCGGUAUCCGGAUUUAUUGGGUUUAAAGGGUGCGUAGGCGGUCCGUUAAGUCAGCGGUAAAAUUGCGGGGCUCAACCCCGUCGAGCCGUGGAAACUGGG
RNAcentral lists this ribosomal RNA (305 nucleotides) under uncultured bacterium. RNAcentral describes it as "bacterial SSU rRNA". It matches the Rfam family "Bacterial small subunit ribosomal RNA", at positions 334 to 637 of the family's 1533-position model. The record is from RNAcentral.